RNAcentral lists this ribosomal RNA (169 nucleotides) under uncultured bacterium. RNAcentral describes it as "partial 16S ribosomal RNA". It matches the Rfam family "Bacterial small subunit ribosomal RNA", at positions 339 to 525 of the family's 1533-position model. The record is from RNAcentral.
UUACGGGAGGCAGCAGUGGGGAAUAUUGCACAAUGGGCGAAAGCCUGAUGCAGCGACGCCGCGUGAAGGAUGAAGUAUUUCGGUAUGUAAACUUCUAUCAGCAGGGAAGAAAAUGACGGUACCUGACUAAGAAGCUCCGGCUAAAUACGUGCCAGCAGCCGCGGUAAUA